AAAUUGAAGAGUUUGAUCAUGGCUCAGAUUGAACGCUGGCGGCAGGCCUAACACAUGCAAGUCGAACGGUAACAGGAAGCAGCUUGCUGCUUCGCUGACGAGUGGCGGACGGGUGAGUAAUGUCUGGGAAACUGCCUGAUGGAGGGGGAUAACUACUGGAAACGGUGGCUAAUACCGCAUAACGUCGCAAGACCAAAGAGGGGGACCUUCGGGCCUCUUGCCAUCAGAUGUGCCCAGAUGGGAUUAGCUUGUUGGUGAGGUAACGGCUCACCAAGGCGACGAUCCCUAGCUGGUCUGAGAGGAUGACCAGCCACACUGGAACUGAGACACGGUCCAGACUCCUACGGGAGGCAGCAGUGGGGAAUAUUGCACAAUGGGCGCAAGCCUGAUGCAGCCAUGCCGUGUGUAUGAAGAAGGCCUUCGGGUUGUAAAGUACUUUCAGC
This 443-nucleotide ribosomal RNA is filed under the name Salmonella enterica. RNAcentral describes it as "bacterial SSU rRNA". It matches the Rfam family "Bacterial small subunit ribosomal RNA", at positions 1 to 440 of the family's 1533-position model. Lineage: Bacteria; Pseudomonadati; Pseudomonadota; Gammaproteobacteria; Enterobacterales; Enterobacteriaceae. The record is from RNAcentral.